This 478-nucleotide ribosomal RNA is filed under the name uncultured bacterium. RNAcentral's name for it is "partial 16S ribosomal RNA". It matches the Rfam family "Bacterial small subunit ribosomal RNA", at positions 28 to 523 of the family's 1533-position model. The record is from RNAcentral.
GACGAACGCUGGCGGCGUGCUUAACACAUGCAAGUCGAACGGUAAGGCCCUUCGGGGUACACGAGUGGCGAACGGGUGAGUAACACGUGGGUGAUCUACCCUGCACUUCGGGAUAAGCCUGGGAAACUGGGUCUAAUACCGGAUAGGACCACUGCCUGCAUGGGUGGUGGUGGAAAGCUUUUGCGGUGUGGGAUGGGCCCGCGGCCUAUCAGCUUGUUGGUGGGGUGAUGGCCUACCAAGGCGACGACGGGUAGCCGGCCUGAGAGGGUGACCGGCCACACUGGGACUGAGAUACGGCCCAGACUCCUACGGGAGGCAGCAGUGGGGAAUAUUGCGCAAUGGGCGCAAGCCUGAUGCAGCGACGCCGCGUGAGGGAUGACGGCCUUCGGGUUGUAAACCUCUUUCAGCACCGACGAAGCGCAAGUGACGGUAGGUGCAGAAGAAGGACCGGCCAACUACGUGCCAGCCGCCGCAGUAA